This is a non-coding RNA of Schizosaccharomyces pombe (fission yeast), 550 nucleotides long. Lineage: Eukaryota; Fungi; Ascomycota; Schizosaccharomycetes; Schizosaccharomycetales; Schizosaccharomycetaceae. The record is from the annotation of a GenBank genome assembly.
GAAAGAACAUGGAUAAUAAAUAUCUCUUUUAUGGGAUAAAGAUGCACAGAUACGAUUAUUUCGAAAACACGGUGAUCACGGCAAAGACCCCGUAAAAUAGAGCAAUUGGAUAAGCAACCAAGAAUCGCAUAUUGUUGACUUGUAAGAUACCAACAAACAUAGCGCUAGCAGCGUAAGUACACCAAAUACAUGCCAAAGCCGCUAAUGCGUAUCCUGCAAUACCACUAAAAAGAUACAGUUAGUAUUAAAAAUUCCUAAAGCAUGAAAUUGUGUAACGAUUAUCUAAAAUCAUUUUACCAUAUAUCAGAGAUCGAUCGACUGACGUACUUGAAUGUGAAUAUAUUUUUAAAAAAGGCAAUCACCACAAGAGGGAGUAAACUGUAUCCUAGAACGCUGACGGUUCGAGUGAAAAAUAAAUUUUUAGCGGACAUUAAACGUAAAACAAAAUGAAGGCUAAGAGAGCCCAAAAGGGCAAUACCAUAAAUGUAACCGAAGUGAGAACGACCGUGCAAUGAUAAAAAUGUGCUGAAUAAUAAACAAAAUAGAAUAG